RNAcentral lists this ribosomal RNA (443 nucleotides) under uncultured bacterium. RNAcentral describes it as "partial 16S ribosomal RNA". It matches the Rfam family "Bacterial small subunit ribosomal RNA", at positions 28 to 507 of the family's 1533-position model. The record is from RNAcentral.
GAUGAACGCUGGCGGCAUGCCUAACACAUGCAAGUCGAUCGGUAAGGCUCUUCGGAGUACACGAGAGGCGGACGGCUGAGUAACGCGUAGGAACACACCCUGCAGUGAGGGAUAAGACACCGAAAGUUGUUCUAAUACCGCAUACGGUCUUCGGAUUAAAGCAUUUAUGCGCUGAAGGAGUGGCCUGCGUCAUAUUAGAUAGUUGGUGAGGUAAUGGCUCACCAAGUCGAUGAUGUGUAGCUGGUCUGAGAGGAUGAUCAGUCAGACUGGAACUGAGACACGGUCCAGACUCCUACGGGAGGCAGCAGUGAGGAAUAUUUCACAAUGAGCGAAAGCUUGAUGGAGCAAUGCCGCGUGCAGGAUGAAGGCCCUCGGGUUGUAAACUGCUUUUAUAAGAGAAGAUUAUGACGGUAACUUAUGAAUAAGGGACGGCUAACUACGUG